UGGCUUAGAAGCAGCCACUCAUUAAAAGAGUGCGUAAUAGCUCACUGGUCGAGUGGCUCUGCGCCGAAAAUUUAACGGGGCUAAACCAUACACCGAAGCUUGGGAUGUACGAAGUACAUGGUAGGAGAGCGUUGAAUGCGGGAAGAAGUCAUAGCGAAAGCGGUGGUGGACUGCAUUGAAGUGAGAAUGCCGGAAUGAGUAGCGAGAUUUAUGUGAGAAUCAUAAAGGCCGAAUGACUAAGGAUUCAGAAGGAAGGUUCGUCCGCUUCUGGUUAGCCGGGAGCUAAGGUGAGGCCGAGAGGCGUAGCCGAUGCACAUACGGUGGAGAUUCCGUAGCCGCCGAAAGACAGAGGGACACUUUGGAAGCGUUGUUGCCGGGCGAUGGUCGCCCCGGUCGAAAGGGACCGAAGACAAGUAGGGAAGAACAGCGUGGACAGAGGCAAGAAAAGCUCUGUGAAUUAAAAGGCGCCCGUACCGCAAACCGACACAGGUAGUCAGGAAGAGAAUUCUAAGGCCAACGGGAGAAGGGUAGUUAAGGAACUCGGCAAAUUGACCCCGUAACUUCGGAAUAAGGGGUGCUCCUGAGAAGGAGCCGCAGUGAAAAGGUCCAGGCGACUGUUUAUCAAAAACACAGGUCUCUGCUAAAUCGAAAGAUGAAGUAUAGGGGCUGACACCUGCCCGGUGCUGGAAGGUUAAGAGGAGAGGUGCAAGCUUUGAAUCGAAGCCCCAGUAAACGGCGGCCGUAACUAUAACGGUCCUAAGGUAGCGAAAUUCCUUGUCGGGUAAGUUCCGACCCGCACGAAUGGUGUAACGAUCUGGACACUGUCUCAACUGCCCACCCGGCGAAAUUGUAGUACCGGUGAAGAUGCCGGUUACCCGCGGCAAGACGGAAAGACCCCAUGGAGCUUUACUGUAGCCUAAUAUUGGGUUUUGGUAUUUUAUGUACAGGAUAGGCGGGAGACUAUGAAACCGAGACGCUAGUUUCGGCGGAGUCACUCUUGGGAUACCGCUCUUAGAGUACCGGAAUUCUAACCUGCGGCCAUGAAUCUGGUCGGGGGACAUUGUUAGGUGGGCAGUUUGACUGGGGCGGUCGCCUCCAAAAGAGUAACGGAGGCGCUCAAAGGUUAGCUCAGCACGGACGGAAACCGUGCCUCUGAGUGCAAACGCAAAAGCUAGCCUAACUGCGAGGCUGACGGGCCGAGCAGUAACGAAAGUUGGAGUUAGUGAUCCGGCGGUAUGUGAAUGGAAAUGCCGUCGCUCAACGGAUAAAAGCUACCCUGGGGAUAACAGGCUGAUCUCCCCCAAGAGUCCACAUCGACGGGGAGGUUUGGCACCUCGAUGUCGGCUCAUC
RNAcentral lists this ribosomal RNA (1350 nucleotides) under human gut metagenome. RNAcentral's name for it is "bacterial LSU rRNA". It matches the Rfam family "Bacterial large subunit ribosomal RNA", at positions 1102 to 2541 of the family's 2925-position model. The record is from RNAcentral.